Molecule: long non-coding RNA, 497 nt
Organism: Oncorhynchus keta (chum salmon)
Lineage: Eukaryota; Metazoa; Chordata; Actinopteri; Salmoniformes; Salmonidae
Exons: 3
Source: RefSeq, a predicted model, not a curated record
CAAUGCUACCAAAUACUAAUUGAGUGUAUGUAAACCUCUGAACCACUGGGAAUGUGAUGAAAGAAAAUAAAUGCUGAAAUAAAUCAUUAUCUCUAAUAUUAUUCUGUACAAUAUUGUUCUGUUUAGCUAGAUCUGUACCUCUCCUCCAGUCCCUCCAGUCCUAACCUCUCCUCCAUAAUGUAAUGUGUCCUAGCUGACAGGGGAGGUGUCUCAGUGUCAGCCCAUCAGUAACCUCUCCUCCAUAAUGUAAUGUAUCCUAGCUGACAGGGGAGGUGUCUCAGUGUCAGCCCAUCAGUAACCUCUCCUCCAUAAUGUAAUGUAUCCUAGCUGACAGGGGAGGUGUCUCAGUGUCAGCCCAUCAGUAACCUCUCCUCCAUAAUGUAAUGUAUCCUAGCUGACAGGGGAGGUGUCUCAGUGUCAGCCCAUCAGUAACCUCUCCUCCAUAAUGUAAUGUAUCCUAGCUGACAGGGGAGGUGUCUCAGUGUCAGCCCAUCAGU